This is a long non-coding RNA of Prunus mume (Japanese apricot), 2026 nucleotides long. RefSeq lists it as uncharacterized. Lineage: Eukaryota; Viridiplantae; Streptophyta; Magnoliopsida; Rosales; Rosaceae. The record is from RefSeq and is a predicted model, not a curated record.
AGAUACAAAGUUUAACGAACAAAGUCGCACUGUGAACUACGAAGUCAAUCCCCAUUAUAUUUGAAGCAUAACCACCUUUGGAGAGGGAUUUUUUUUUCUUUCCUCUCCUGUGCAUCAGUGUUUUUGUCUGAGCGCCUGACAAAACCAAAGGGUGGAGGGUAAGACUCGAAUUUCAUCGUAAUGGGUUCAUGGAUGUCUAGGGUUACAGAGAUUGAAAACACGACAGACCAGACUCUGGAACUGAGAGAAUGUCCGGAAGGGGAUCCAGAAGGGAAAGGAAGUGAACCAAUUCUGCUUCAUCCGCACAAGUCCAAGUGUAUCCCUGCAACUAAAUUCUGUCAACACAGCCACGAUGCCGCUAGACCACGGCACUUAAUUCUGGUUUCCUCCAACGGGGGUGGAGGGAAUCCUGAGACCUUCGCCACAACUGAUUUCAUCACCUUCGAAAAGUUCGUUAUCUUUCCUAGAGAAAACGGGAACAUCAGGGUCCAGACAUCCCGUACUAAAGGGACCGGAUUCCGAAGAAUCAAGUUGGUCAAAUGCUUAAUCAGUUUCAUUCAGCUACCAUGAACAAGCAGAUACGAGAACCUUGCAGGCUGUGACAGAGACAACUUUGUAAAAACAGUAACAUUCUCUUUCAAGGGCGAUAUAUACCAUACCUUAUGAAGAAAUAAGAAUAUGUUGUGUUGUUAAAGGAUGAAGAACCCAACUGUAGAAACUUAGAGUUUGUUUGGGAGUGAUUUUAUAAUGGCUAUAAUUACUUAUAGACAUAAGCACCUCCCGCACGCUUCUCCAUAUAAUAUCUUUAAGUGAUUUUAAUUAAGCCAUUUUCGGGAGAAACACCUCCAAUGUGUCUCUCUAUAAAAUCACUUAAAAUUAAAACCACGUAAAGUGAUUAUAUGAAGAAGUGGUUCUCUAUAAAAGUGAUUAUUAGCUUAUCCAAAAUCACUUCCAAAAAAUUCAUAUUGUACAUAAUGUAACGAAUAAGCAAUGAAUAUUGUAUAUAUAAACUUUUAAGAAGUUGCAUUACUCAUGCUGUACAUAAUGUAUAUAUAAACUUUAAAUUAUUUAUGUCCAUUACAGCAUAUUGCAUAUAUUACUUAACACAAGUAGUAUUAAGUAAUGCACCUACAUAACAAACGAUCAUAAUACACCUGCUAAACACGAAUGCCCCUAAUUUAUCUAUCUAAUUUGUAGGUGUACUUAGAUUAAUUUACCUAUUUCUCAACCCAAAAAAAAAUUAAUUUACCUACACUUGUACAUAUUGUUUACCUAUAUUUUGUAGCAAGACUGGGCUAAAAGCACGAUCUAAAGAGCACAAAAAUGAUAUUCAUGUCCUUUUGAAAAUACAUUUGACAUAUGUGGCCUAUAGAGGACAAAUACUGAAAUUGUGUCCCUUUAAGUAACCUAUAGAGCAUGAAUACUUUAAAUUGUGAGAAUGUGAAGGUAAAGAGUCCCACAUUGGAAAGUUAAGAAACCUAGCAAGGGCUUAUAAGGAGUUGGGCUAUUCCCCCCAUUGCCAAUUGGUUUUGGGGUGGAACCUCAACUUCCUUAAUAGUAUCAGAACGGGUUGCUCACGUGUGAAAGCCCAACGGCCACACGUGCUCCAUGUCACCCAAAAUGUAUUGUCCACGUGUUAGGCUUGAAAAUUCGCCACACGUGCGGGGGCGUGUGAGAAUGUGAAGGUAAAAAGUCUCACAUUGGGAAGUUGUGAAACCUAGCAAGGCCUUAUAAGGAGUUGGACUAUUCCUCUCAUUGUUAAUUGACUUUUGGGUGGAACCUCAACUUUCUUCAUAAAUUAUGUCUAGAAUAGUUUUAAAAAAAUUCAUAAAAAAUAUUAAAAAAAUAAUUUUAAAAAGGCGCCUACCUUCCUUGUAGAACUUCUCUCCAAAUAUCUCAUUGAAAAUGAAUAUAUUAAAGAUAAGCAUCCCAACAACACGCACGCCUCUUUCAUUGAGAAAAACACAUGCCUCUCUCUUGUCUUUUCAUCUUUCUAUUUUCCAUUCUUUUUUGUUUUUAUUUUCUC